RNAcentral lists this unclassified non-coding RNA (241 nucleotides) under uncultured Pseudotomentella. RNAcentral's name for it is "sequence contains ITS2". The record is from RNAcentral. Lineage: Eukaryota; Fungi; Basidiomycota; Agaricomycetes; Thelephorales; Thelephoraceae.
AAUUCUCAACUGCCUUUUAGCAUUUAUGUUAAGGGGUGAAGUUGGAGUUGGAGGAUAACUGCUGGCGCAACUUAGGUUGCUUGUUAGCUCCUCUUGAAUUGAUAAGCUUUUCUGAUGGAUCAUAGCUCAGUAAUACUAAUGUGAUAAUUAUCUACAUUAGAUGUGAAAGCUAUGAGUAGAGUGACUUCAAUUGUGGAGAAGCUCCUAUUAGAAAGCAUGUGUUUUGGGGGGAUAAUAAUAA